ACUUACAACCAAUUUUAUUCACAAAAAACCCCUGAAGCCUCUGACGCAAGACUCCCCAGAUUGCUUCUCUGCGUCGUGCGCCGCCGCCGCCGCCGCUGUCGUGUGCCUCCGAUAUCUGUCGACUUGAUCCUGACGUCUGCCGGCACCCACCAGAUGCAGAUGCAGUGACAACAACGGAUGAGCGACUAGCAAGUAGUACAACAUCUCUUUCAACCAGCAACACGAGGGCAUCAAAAGUUUGAGCAAUAUGGAUCCAAUCAACAACGUUCAAAUGCAUAUGAGCCAUGGGGGAUUUAAUACACCCAAAAAGAAUACAGACAUGGCAGACAUACCUCUCUUUUCUUCGUCUUUUAUACCUGAAUGUGAUGAGCAGUUGAAGCCUAAAGUGGGUAUGACAUUUAAAGGACUAGAGGCAAUGGAGAAGUUCUACAAGGCAUAUGCACAUGAAUCAGGUUUUGGUGUUCGUAUCGGACAGCAGAAAAAGAUUGAGAAUAAGGUGGUCCGGACUAAGCGUUUCAUGUGUAAUAGGGAAGGAUUCAAGUCAAAAGAUUGUAAGGAGAUAGAUGACCCCUUGAAGAAAAUGCGUAAGCAGACAAAUACGCGAUGCGGUUGUGAUGCCCAUAUCUUCGUUAGACUUUGUGGAGACAACACCUACAAGAUAGACUCAUGGGUUGAGCACCACAUUCAUGGUCUUGUAUCGCCUAAUAAGCGUCAUUUGAUUAGAUCGAAUCGUAGAGUUAGUGAGAGAGCAAAGAAUACUUUAUACACAUGUCAUAAGGCAAGCAUUGGAACCUCCCAGGCAUACAGGCUGCUGCAAGUCAGUGAGGGUGGAAUUCCUUAUGUUGGGUGCACAAAGAGGGACUUGCAGAAUUACUACCAGGCUCUCAGGUAUAAAAUCAGAGACGCGGAUGCUCAAAUGUUUGUUGCCCAAUUAGCUAGAAAGCAGGAAGUGAAUUCAGCAUUUUUCUAUGAUUUUGAAGUGAAUGAUGAAGGGAAGCUAGUGCGUGUGUUCUGAGCGGAUGCCACAAGCAGGAAGAACUAUAGUCACUAUAGGCAUGGACUUCUUGACAUUAAGUGUGAUGAACAUUGAGGCACCUUUGGAGCAGAUGAUCCCUGCAGCCGCCCAAAGCACUAGGCAAGAGGAGUAUGAGGCUUUUAUUGGUUGCAACAUUCCCGCCGAAGUUCAUAUACAUCCGCCGACUGAUGUUCGUACCGUGGGGAGAUGCAAAAGAAUAAAGCGAGGAAAGGAGAUCAAGGAGGGGGUCGAAAAAGUAAGGACAAACAAGGGAAGGUAAAGGUUGCACGCUUGUGCAAGACGUGCAAGCAACACGUGUUUCAUGAUAGUCGUAAUUGUCCAAGCAAAAAAGGAAAUGGGAGUGUGAUUCUGCAAGAUAUGCAGCUAAAUGGUGAUUGCUGAUACAGUCCAAGCAGAGAAUGAUUUUAUCUAUGUUAUAUUCAUGUAAUGAACGAGAAUUUGCAUUGUGUCGAAUUAAACUUGACUUGAUUUCUGACAAGUUUGAUGCUUGUCAAAUUCCUAAAGAAUAAAGAACAUAUUCAGACUUUU
Molecule: long non-coding RNA, 1564 nt
Organism: Triticum aestivum (bread wheat)
Lineage: Eukaryota; Viridiplantae; Streptophyta; Magnoliopsida; Poales; Poaceae
Exons: 4
Source: RefSeq, a predicted model, not a curated record